This 69-nucleotide transfer RNA is filed under the name Limbodessus palmulaoides. RNAcentral describes it as "tRNA-Gln". Lineage: Eukaryota; Metazoa; Arthropoda; Insecta; Coleoptera; Dytiscidae. The record is from RNAcentral.
UACAUUUUAGUAUAGGGCGUAUGUAAAUUUUUGAUAUUUGAGGAAAUAGUUUAAUUCUAUUAAAUGUAA